CCCCCACCAAAUAUUAUAUGAUGUUUAAGUGUUGAUGUUGGACAUGGAAGACAAUGUAACGAUCAUCAUAGUUUACAUUCACAUAGAACUUAUUUUGUCAUGGAUCCCCUAACAUGGGGUGCUCGAUUUAGAUAUUCUGCUAGCCAAAAAAUUCCGCACUAAGUAGAGAUACUACUUGUGCAUCCAUAACCUUUAAACCGAGUUUCUUGCCAUGAGAGUCCAC
This 223-nucleotide long non-coding RNA is filed under the name Hordeum vulgare. RNAcentral's name for it is "long non-coding RNA (HVUL_LNC001152)". Lineage: Eukaryota; Viridiplantae; Streptophyta; Magnoliopsida; Poales; Poaceae. The record is from RNAcentral.